RNAcentral lists this ribosomal RNA (435 nucleotides) under uncultured bacterium. RNAcentral's name for it is "bacterial SSU rRNA". It matches the Rfam family "Bacterial small subunit ribosomal RNA", at positions 958 to 1392 of the family's 1533-position model. The record is from RNAcentral.
AACGCGAAGAACCUUACCUGGGUUUGACAUGCACAGGACGCUGGUAGAGAUAUCAGUUCCCUUGUGGCCUGUGUGCAGGUGGUGCAUGGCUGUCGUCAGCUCGUGUCGUGAGAUGUUGGGUUAAGUCCCGCAACGAGCGCAACCCUUAUCUUAUGUUGCCAGCGCGUAAUGGCGGGGACUCGUAAGAGACUGCCGGGGUCAACUCGGAGGAAGGUGGGGAUGACGUCAAGUCAUCAUGCCCCUUAUGUCCAGGGCUUCACACAUGCUACAAUGGCCGGUACAAAGGGCUGCGAUGCCGUGAGGUGGAGCGAAUCCUUUCAAAGCCGGUCUCAGUUCGGAUCGGGGUCUGCAACUCGACCCCGUGAAGUCGGAGUCGCUAGUAAUCGCAGAUCAGCAACGCUGCGGUGAAUACGUUCCCGGGCCUUGUACACACCG